Molecule: ribosomal RNA, 248 nt
Filed under: uncultured Lachnospiraceae bacterium
Lineage: Bacteria; Bacillati; Bacillota; Clostridia; Lachnospirales; Lachnospiraceae
Description: partial 16S ribosomal RNA
Rfam family: Bacterial small subunit ribosomal RNA
Source: RNAcentral
UACGUAGGGGGCAAGCGUUAUCCGGAUUUACUGGGUGUAAAGGGAGCGUAGACGGCCAUGCAAGUCUGAUGUGAAAACCCGGGGCUCAACCCCGGGACUGCAUUGGAAACUGUGCGGCUGGAGUGUCGGAGAGGCAAGUGGAAUUCCUAGUGUAGCGGUGAAAUGCGUAGAUAUUAGGAGGAACACCAGUGGCGAAGGCGGCUUACUGGACUGUAACUGACGUUGAGGCUCGAAAGCGUGGGGAGCAA